GGGGAAUCUUGCACAAUGGGCGAAAGCCUGAUGCAGCGACGCCGCGUGCGGGAAGAAGGCCCUCGGGUUGUAAACCGCUUUCAGCAGGGACGAGGCGCAAGUGACGGUACCUGCAGAAGAAGCCCCGGCUAACUACGUGCCAGCAGCCGCGGUAAUACGUAGGGGGCGAGCGUUAUCCGGAUUCAUUGGGCGUAAAGCGCGCGUAGGCGGCCCGUUAGGUCGGGAGUCAAAUCCGGGGGCUCAACCCCCGUCCGCUCCCGAUACCGGCGGGCUUGAGUCUGGUAGGGGAAGGUGGAAUUCCAAGUGUAGCGGUGGAAUGCGCAGAUAUUUGGAAGAACACCGGUGGCGAAGGCGGCCUUCUGGGCCACGACUGACGCUGAGGCGCGAAAGCUAGGGGAGCGAAC
This 404-nucleotide ribosomal RNA is filed under the name uncultured bacterium. Its description in RNAcentral is "bacterial SSU rRNA". It matches the Rfam family "Bacterial small subunit ribosomal RNA", at positions 356 to 773 of the family's 1533-position model. The record is from RNAcentral.